CGUAGGUGGCAAGCGUUGUCCGGAUUUAUUGGGUUUAAAGGGUGCGUAGGCGGCUUUGUAAGUCAGUGGUGAAAUACUCCAGCUCAACUGGAGAGGUGCCAUUGAUACUGCAGAGCUAGAGUACUGAUGAGGUAGGCGGAAUGGACGGUGUAGCGGUGAAAUGCUUAGAUAUCGUCCAGAACACCGAUAGCGAAGGCAGCUUACUAAAGAGUAACUGACGCUGAAGGCACGAAAGUGUGGGGAUCAAACAGGAUUAGAUACCCUGGUAGUCCACACUGUAAACGUUGAUCACUAGAUGUUGGCGAUACACUGCCAGCGUUCCAGCAAAAGCGAUAAGUGAUCCACCUGGGGAUACGCCCGCAAGGGUG
RNAcentral lists this ribosomal RNA (368 nucleotides) under uncultured organism. RNAcentral describes it as "bacterial SSU rRNA". It matches the Rfam family "Bacterial small subunit ribosomal RNA", at positions 526 to 896 of the family's 1533-position model. The record is from RNAcentral.